UACGUAGGGUGCAAGCGUUGUCCGGAAUCAUUGGGCGUAAAGCGCGCGUAGGUGGCUUCGUAAGUCCGUUGUGAAAGUCAAAGGCUCAACCUUUGAAUGCCGAUGGAUACUGCGAAGCUAGAGUACGGAAGAGGCGAGUGGAAUUCCUGGUGUAGCGGUGGAAUGCGCAGAUAUCAGGAGGAACACCAAUAGCGAAGGCAGCUCGCUGGGACGGUACUGACGCUGAGGCGCGAAAGCGUGGGGAGCGAACAGG
This 253-nucleotide ribosomal RNA is filed under the name uncultured bacterium. Its description in RNAcentral is "partial 16S ribosomal RNA". It matches the Rfam family "Bacterial small subunit ribosomal RNA", at positions 524 to 776 of the family's 1533-position model. The record is from RNAcentral.